GGCGUCCGAGUUGUAAUUUGUAGAGGAUGCUAUUGAGUUGUCACCGGUCUAAGUUCCUUGGAACAGGACGUCAUAGAGGGUGAGAAUCCCGUAUGUGACCGGCCAGACGCUCUCUGUAUAGCUCCUUCGACGAGUCGGGUUGUUUGGGAAUGCAGCCCUAAAUGGGAGGUAAAUUUCUUCUAAAGCUAAAUACCGGCCAGAGACCGAUAGCGCACAAGUAGAGUGAUCGAAAGAUGAAAAGCACUUUGGAAAGAGAGUUAAAAAGCACGUGAAAUUGUUGAAAGGGAAGCGCUUGCAAUCAGUCUCGACGGCGGCUGUUCGGCCCCUCUUCUGAGUGGUUUAUUCAGCCGCCGCCGGGCCAGCAUCAGUUUCGGCGGUCGGAUAAAGGCGCGGGGAAUGUAGCUCCCCUCGGGGAGUGUUAUAGCCCCGCGUGCAAUACGGCCCGCCGGGACUGAGGUCCGCGCUUCGGCUAGGAUGCUGGCGAAAUGGUUGUAAGCGGCCCGUCUUGAAACACGGACCAAGGAGUCUAACAUCUAUGCGAGUGUUUGGGUGUCAAACCCGUGCGCGUAAUGAAAGUGAACGGAGGUGGGAACCGCAAGGUGCACCAUCGACCGAUCCUGAUGUCUUCGGAUGGAUUUGAGUAAGAGCAUAGCUGUUGGGACCCGAAAGAUGGUGAACUAUGCCUGAAUAGGGUGAAGCCAGAGGAAACUCUGGUGGAGGCUCGCAGCGGUUCUGACG
RNAcentral lists this ribosomal RNA (738 nucleotides) under Elsinoe oleae. Its description in RNAcentral is "eukaryotic LSU rRNA". It matches the Rfam family "Eukaryotic large subunit ribosomal RNA", at positions 133 to 891 of the family's 3401-position model. Lineage: Eukaryota; Fungi; Ascomycota; Dothideomycetes; Myriangiales; Elsinoaceae. The record is from RNAcentral.